AUGGCGCUGCGAACCCUGGCGGCGAGGGCGGUGCGCCUCCAGACUCCGGUCCUCGGCCUCUCCCCUCCGCCCGCCGGCCGCCCCAACCUCCCCCCUCCGGCCGGCGGCCGCCUCAUCUCCAGCAGAAAUCUGGGAGGUUCUCCACCUGAAGAUGCUGCUCGGAAGAUUGUGCUUGAGAACGCUGCCACGCUUGAGCGCCUGGAGAAGAGUUAUGAAAUGUUCAAGGCACGUGUUCGAUUACUAGAGAAGGGAAGCAAUAUUCUGAAGUGGUCGUUGGCUUGCAUUAUCCCUGUGCCUUUGGUUUACAGCAUUGUGGAGUAUCAUUAUGAUAAGGAGGAACUGGCCAUUGUGAUUUGA
Molecule: ribosomal RNA, 357 nt
Filed under: Triticum aestivum (bread wheat)
Lineage: Eukaryota; Viridiplantae; Streptophyta; Magnoliopsida; Poales; Poaceae
Description: partial small subunit ribosomal RNA
Source: RNAcentral